UAGCUAGUUGGUGAGGUAAAGGCUUACCAAGGCGACGAUCUGUAGCGGGUCUGAGAGGAUGAUCCGCCACACUGGAACUGAGACACGGUCCAGACUCCUACGGGAGGCAGCAGUGGGGAAUUUUGGACAAUGGGGGCAACCCUGAUCCAGCCAUGCCGCGUGAGUGAAGAAGGCCUUCGGGUUGUAAAGCUCUUUCGGCCGGGAAGAAAUCGCAUGGGCCAAUACCCUGUGUGGAUGACGGUACCGGAAUAAGAAGCACCGGCUAACUACGUGCCAGCAGCCGCGGUAAUACGUAGGGUGCGAGCGUUAAUCGGAAUUACUGGGCGCAAAGCGUGCGCAGGCGGUUUUGUAAGACAGGCGUGAAAUCCCCGGGCUUAACCUGGGAACUGCGUUUGUGACUGCAAGGCUAGAGUACGGCAGAGGGGGGUGGAAUUCCACGUGUAGCAGUGAAAUGCGUAGAGAUGUGGAGGAACACCAAUGGCGAAGGCAGCCCCCUGGGUCGAUACUGACGCUCAUGCACGAAAGCGUGGGUAGCAAACAGGAUUAGAUACCCUGGUAGUCCACGCCCUAAACUAUGUCAACUAGGUGUUGGGUGGGUAAAACCAUUUAGUACCGUAGCUAACGCGUGAAGUUGACCGCCUGGGGAGUACGGCCGCAAGGUUAAAACUCAAAGGAAUUGACGGGGACCCGCACAAGCGGUGGAUGAUGUGGAUUAAUUCGAUGCAACGCGAAAAACCUUACCUACCCUUGACAUGCCAGGAACUUGCCAGAGAUGGCUUGGUGCCCGAAAGGGAGCCUGGACACAGGUGCUGCAUGGCUGUCGUCAGCUCGUGUCGUGAGAUGUUGGGUUAAGUCCCGCAACGAGCGCAACCCUUGUCGUUAAUUGCCAUCAUUUGGUUGGGCACUUUAACGAGACUGCCGGUGACAAACCGGAGGAAGGUGGGGAUGACGUCAAGUCCUCAUGGCCCUUAUGGGUAGGGCUUCACACGUCAUACAAUGGUCGGUACAAAGGGUUGCCAAGCCGCGAGGCGGAGCCAAUCCCAGAAAGCCGAUCGUAGUCCGGAUUGCAGGCUGCAACUCGCCUGCAUGAAGUCGGAAUCGCUAGUAAUCGUGGAUCAGCAUGUCACGGUGAAUACGUUCCCGGGUCUUGUACACACCGCCCGUCACACCAUGGGAGCGGGUUCCGCCAGAAGUAGGUAGCCUAACCGCAAGGGGGGCGCUUACCACGGCGGGGUUCGUGACUGGGGUGAAGUCGGAACAAGGUAGCCGUAGGGGAACCUGCGGCUG
Molecule: ribosomal RNA, 1287 nt
Filed under: metagenome
Description: bacterial SSU rRNA
Rfam family: Bacterial small subunit ribosomal RNA
Source: RNAcentral